RNAcentral lists this transfer RNA (67 nucleotides) under Stolotermes victoriensis. Its description in RNAcentral is "tRNA-Ser". It matches the Rfam family "tRNA". From Rfam's summary of the family: Transfer RNA (tRNA) molecules are approximately 80 nucleotides in length. Their secondary structure includes four short double-helical elements and three loops (D, anti-codon, and T loops). Lineage: Eukaryota; Metazoa; Arthropoda; Insecta; Blattodea; Termopsidae. The record is from RNAcentral.
AGUCAAACAGCUUAAGAAAGCAAGUACCUUGAAAGUACAAGAAAGAGAUUAAAUCCUCUAUUGACUU